RNAcentral lists this ribosomal RNA (305 nucleotides) under uncultured bacterium. RNAcentral's name for it is "bacterial SSU rRNA". It matches the Rfam family "Bacterial small subunit ribosomal RNA", at positions 335 to 637 of the family's 1533-position model. The record is from RNAcentral.
AUACCUACGGGACGCAGCAGUGAGGAAUAUUGGUCAAUGGGCGCGAGCCUGAACCAGCCAAGUCGCGUGAGGGAUGACGGCCCUACGGGUUGUAAACCUCUUUUGUCGGGGAGCAAAUUCCGUUACGUGUAACGGAGUCGAGAGUACCCGAAGAAAAAGCAUCGGCUACCUCCGAGCCAGCAGCAGCGGUAAUACGGAGGAUGCGAGCGUUAUCAGGCUUUAUUGGGUUUAAAGGGUGCGUAGGCGGACUGUCAAGUCAGCGGUAAAAUACGACGGCUCCACCUCCGCCAGCCGUUGAAACAGAC